Peromyscus maniculatus bairdii (prairie deer mouse) is the source of this 1399-nucleotide non-coding RNA. NCBI's taxonomy places the organism in Eukaryota, Metazoa, Chordata, Mammalia, Rodentia, Cricetidae. The record is from RefSeq and is a predicted model, not a curated record.
GGCGCUUCCGCAAAGAUGAGCGCUGGGCUGGCGGCUUGGUGGGAGGCUGCGGUGCGGGCUUGGCCGGCCGAGGAGCUGUCGAGUCCCGGCCCUCUGGCAGCGGCUGUGGCCGGCGUGGCCCUGGCAGGAGCGGUGUGGCAUCACGGCCGCGUGCAAGCACCCACGCGCGAAGGCAGCCUUAAGGUGCUGGCGCAGAAAAAUGACUUGGGACCAAUAGAGAAACUUUCUCUAUGUAAACAGCGGUUCAUGUAGUUUCGUCACUGGAGCAUGAAGGAGAAUAUUACAUGACACCCCGAGACUUCCUCUUCUCAGUAAUGUUUGAGCAAGUGGAGCGUGAAACACUAGUCAAGAAGCUGGCAAGAAAGGAUAUCGAGGAUGUGCUAUCAGGAAUCCAAACAGCACGCUGUGGAUCAACUUUUUUUAGAGACCUGGGUGAUAAGGAGGUAAUUUCAUACACCGAGUAUCUUUUCUUAUUACAAUCCUCACAAAACCUCACACUGGGUUCCUUGUUGCUUUUAAAAUGCUGGAUGCAGAUGGCAAUGAGAUGAUUGAAAGAAAGGAGUUUGUCAAGCUGCAGAAGAUCAUAAGUAAACAAGAUGACUUCAAGACAGUGAAGACUAAGGAGACAGAAUACCAGGAACCAACAGUGAAAGAGCCUGGAGUUAACACAACCCUUCAAGUGGGUUUCUUUGGGAAAAGAGGAGAAAAAAAAACUUCAUUAUAAAGAAUUUCGAAGAUUUAUGGAAAAUUUACAAACAGAAGUUCAAGAAAUGGAAUUCCUUCAGUUUUCUAAGGGUCUGAAUUUCAUGAGAAAGGAAGACUUUGCAGACUGGCUCCUUUUCUUCACUAACACUGAAAACAAAGACAUCUACUGGAAAAACGUGAGAGAAAAGUUGUCGGUUGGAGAGAGCAUUAGUUUGGAUGAGUUCAAGUCAUUUUGCCAUUUUACAACGCAUUUGGAAGACUUUGCUCUCGCCAUGCAAAUAUUUAGCUUAGCUCAUCGCCCUGUGAGACUGGCGGAGUUUAAGAGGGCUGUGAAAGUAGCAACUGGACAAGAACUCUCAAACAAUAUUCUGGACACUGUCUUCAAGGUCUUUGACUUGGACGGUGAUGAGUGCCUAAGCCACGGGGAGUUUCUUGGAGUAUUGAAAAACAGGAUGCACCGAGGUUUAUGGGUGCCGCAGCAGCAGAGUGUGCAAGAAUACUGGAAAUGCGUGAAGAAGGAAAGCAUCAAGGGCGUCAAGGAAGCCUGGAAACAAGCUGGAAAGGGCCACUUUUAAGGAAGAGAUAGGUAGCAAUUACAUCGUUUUGAGGUGCCAGAAUUUGAGACAUUUUCUCAAAGAAUGAACUGUUUUUCUCUAAGUCUUCAUUGAGUUGCUUUGUAAUGUAAAGAUGUCAU